RNAcentral lists this ribosomal RNA (319 nucleotides) under uncultured Laccaria. RNAcentral describes it as "eukaryotic LSU rRNA". The stretch from base 1 to 71 matches the Rfam family "5.8S ribosomal RNA", at positions 84 to 154 of the family's 154-position model. The record is from RNAcentral. Lineage: Eukaryota; Fungi; Basidiomycota; Agaricomycetes; Agaricales; Tricholomataceae.
GUGAGUCAUCGAAUCUUUGAACGCACCUUGCGCUCCUUGGUAUUCCGAGGAGCAUGCCUGUUUGAGUGUCAUUAAAUUAUCAACCUUCCAGCUUUCAUUAGCUUGGUUAGGCUUGGAUGUGGGGGUUGCAGGCUUUCACUGAGGUCAGCUCUCCUGAAAUGCAUUAGUGGAACUUUUGUGGACCAUCUAUUGGUGUGAUAAUUAUCUAUGCCGUGGAUGUAAAGCAGCUUUUAUAUAAAGUUCAGCUUCUAACUGUCCUUUCACUAGGACAAUUUUGACAAUUUGACCUCAAAUCAGGUAGGACUACCCGCUGAACUUA